RNAcentral lists this ribosomal RNA (326 nucleotides) under uncultured Pseudomonas sp. RNAcentral's name for it is "partial 16S ribosomal RNA". It matches the Rfam family "Bacterial small subunit ribosomal RNA", at positions 383 to 709 of the family's 1533-position model. The record is from RNAcentral. Lineage: Bacteria; Pseudomonadati; Pseudomonadota; Gammaproteobacteria; Pseudomonadales; Pseudomonadaceae.
CUGAUGAGCCAUGCCGCGUGUAUGAAGAGGCCUUCUGGUUGUAAAGUACUUUCAGCGGGGAGAAGGCCCCUCCUUAAUAACUUCAGAAUUGAAUUCCCGAAAAAAAAAAACGGGUAAAUUCUUGGCAGCAGCCGCGGUAAUACCGAAGGGGGAAGCGUUAAUCGGAAUUACUGGGCUUUCACUUCAAAAGGGGCGGUCUGUCAAGUCGGAUGGGAAAUCCCCGGGCUCAACCUGGGAACUGCAUUCCAAACUGGCAGGCUAGAGUCUGUAAAGGGGGGUAGAAUUCCAGGGGUAGCGGGGAAAUGGGUAAAGAUUUGGAGGAAAAC